RNAcentral lists this ribosomal RNA (254 nucleotides) under uncultured microorganism. RNAcentral's name for it is "partial 16S ribosomal RNA". It matches the Rfam family "Archaeal small subunit ribosomal RNA", at positions 474 to 727 of the family's 1478-position model. The record is from RNAcentral.
UACCGGCGCUCCGAGUGGCGACCACGUUUACUGGGCCUAAAGCGUCCGUAGCCGGUUAAGUAAAUCCCUUGUGAAAUUGUCGCGCUUAACGCGACAGCGUGCAGGGGAGACUGCUUAACUAGGGACCGGAAGGCGCAGGAGGUAUUCCGGAGGGAGCGGUAAAAUGCUAUAAUCUCCGGAGGACCACCGGUGGCGAAGGCGUCCUGCGAGGACGGGUCCGACGGUGAGGGACGAAGGCUGGGGGAGCAAACCGG